AACUCUGGAGAGUCUCCAAAAGGGCGCCGAAGGUGUACGGCAGAUCAGGUAAUCUGCCAAUCUCUCAGGCAAAAGGACAGAGGAU
This 85-nucleotide non-coding RNA is filed under the name human gut metagenome. RNAcentral describes it as "Glycine riboswitch". It matches the Rfam family "Glycine riboswitch aptamer", at positions 9 to 86 of the family's 94-position model. Rfam says of the family: This family represents the bacterial glycine riboswitch. The record is from RNAcentral.